GGUCCUAUAGCUCAGUUGGUUAGAGCACCUGACUCAUAAUCAGGGAGUCCUUGGUUCAAGCCCAAGUGGGACCACGA
RNAcentral lists this transfer RNA (77 nucleotides) under Parabacteroides distasonis. RNAcentral's name for it is "tRNA-Met". It matches the Rfam family "tRNA". Rfam says of the family: Transfer RNA (tRNA) molecules are approximately 80 nucleotides in length. Their secondary structure includes four short double-helical elements and three loops (D, anti-codon, and T loops). Further hydrogen bonds mediate the characteristic L-shaped molecular structure. tRNAs have two regions of fundamental functional importance: the anti-codon, which is responsible for specific mRNA codon recognition, and the 3' end, to which the tRNAs corresponding amino acid is attached (by aminoacyl-tRNA synthetases). tRNAs cope with the degeneracy of the genetic code in two manners: having more than one tRNA (with a specific anti-codon) for a particular amino acid; and 'wobble' base-pairing, i.e. permitting non-standard base-pairing at the 3rd anti-codon position. Lineage: Bacteria; Pseudomonadati; Bacteroidota; Bacteroidia; Bacteroidales; Tannerellaceae. The record is from RNAcentral. RNAcentral also lists the same sequence under 50 other names.